This 497-nucleotide ribosomal RNA is filed under the name uncultured bacterium. RNAcentral describes it as "partial 16S ribosomal RNA". It matches the Rfam family "Bacterial small subunit ribosomal RNA", at positions 28 to 507 of the family's 1533-position model. The record is from RNAcentral.
GAUGAACGCUGGCGGCGUGCCUAAUACAUGCAAGUCGAGCGAACAGACGAGGAUCUUGCUCCUCUGACGUUAGCGGCGGACGGGUGAGUAACACGUGGAUAACCUACCUCUAAGACUGGGAUAACUUCGGGAAACCGGAGCUAAUACCGGAUAAUAUAUUUAACCGCAUGGUUCUAUAGUGAAAUACGGUUUUGCUGUCACUUAUAGAUUGAUCCGCGCCUCAUUAGCUAGUUGGUAAGGUAACGGCUUACCAAGGCCACGAUGAGUAGCCGACCUGAGAGGGGGAUCGGCCACACUGGAACUGAGACACGGUCCAGAGUCCUAGGGGAGGCACAAGUUGGGAAUGUUGCGAACAGGGCGAAAGCCUGCAGGAGCAACGCCACGUGAGUGAUGAAGGUCUUCGGAUCGUAAAACUCUGUUAUUAGGGAAGAACCAAUGUGUAAGUAACUAUGCACGUCUUGACGGUACCUAAUCAGAAAGCCACGGCUAACUACGUG